UACGUAGGCAGCAAGCGUUGUUCGGAGUUACUGGGCGUAAAGGGUGUGUAGGCGGUUCUUUAAGUUUGGUGUGAAAUCUCCCGGCUCAACUGGGAGGGUGCGCCGAAUACUGAGGGACUAGAGUACGGGAGAGGAAAGUGGAAUUCCUGGUGUAGCGGUGAAAUGCGUAGAUAUCAGGAGGAACACCGGUGGUGUAGACGGCUUUCUGGACCGACACUGACGCUGAGGCGCGAAAGCGUGGGGAGCGAACAGG
Molecule: ribosomal RNA, 253 nt
Filed under: uncultured bacterium
Lineage: Bacteria
Description: partial 16S ribosomal RNA
Rfam family: Bacterial small subunit ribosomal RNA
Source: RNAcentral